Molecule: ribosomal RNA, 254 nt
Filed under: uncultured bacterium
Lineage: Bacteria
Description: partial 16S ribosomal RNA
Rfam family: Bacterial small subunit ribosomal RNA
Source: RNAcentral
GACGUAGGGGGCGAGCGUUGUCCGGAUUUAUUGGGCGUAAAGAGCUCGUAGGCGGCUCAGAAAGUCGGGUGUGAAACCUCCAGGCUCAACCUGGAGACGCCACCUGAUACUGCUGUGGCUAGAGUCCGGUAGGGGAACACGGAAUUCCCGGUGUAGCGGUGAAAUGCUUAGAUAUCGGGAGGAACACCAGUGGCGAAGGCGGUGUUCUGGGCCGGAACUGACGCUGAGGAGCGAAAGCGUGGGUAGCAAACAGG